CCAAUAGCGUAUAUUAAAGUUGUUGCAGUUAAAAAGCUCGUAGUUGAAUUUCGGGGUUUAUCCGUUGGUCGGGCUUUUGGGUCUGUACUGGCGUGAUGGAUUCCUACCUUCUGAAUAACCAGCAUGCCAUUAAUUUGGUGCGUUGGGGAAGCAGGACUGUUACCUUGAAAAAAUUAGAGUGCUUAAAGCAGGCUAUUGCCUGAAUACAUUAGCAUGGAAUAAUGAAAUAGGACGCAUGGUUCUAUUUUGUUGGUUUCUAGGAUCACCGUAAUGAUUAAUAGGGAUAGUUGGGGGCAUUAGUAUUCAAUUGUCAAAGGUGAAAUUCUUGGAUUUAUUGAAGACUAACUUCUGCGAAAGCAUUUGCCAAGGAUGUUUUCAUUAAUCAAGAACGAAAGUUAGGGGAUCGAAGACGAUCAGAUACCGUCGUAGUCUUAACCAUAAACUAUGCCGACUAGGGAUCGGACGAUGUUAAUUUUUUAAUGACUCGUUCGGCGCCUUACG
RNAcentral lists this ribosomal RNA (501 nucleotides) under uncultured Glomeromycotina. RNAcentral describes it as "partial small subunit ribosomal RNA". It matches the Rfam family "Eukaryotic small subunit ribosomal RNA", at positions 591 to 1092 of the family's 1831-position model. Lineage: Eukaryota; Fungi; Glomeromycota. The record is from RNAcentral.